UACAUACAUCUAAGAAACAUUAAUUUAAUAAUAGUUUCAUAUUAACAAGCAUGAACUUUUUUUCACGCUAUAAAGCUAACAAAUGAUUCCUAUUUCUAGAUACAUAAAAGAAAAAAUAUGGUUAAAGUUUAUAUGUUUAUUUAUACUAUGAUUUUCUUCUUUUCCAUAUUUAUUUCUAUAGCAAAUACCCUUGGGUGCCAAAAUCAUGAGGAUUGUCGAGAUCAUGUGUGUAUUGAAGCUGACACUAAACCAGUCUGCGCGUUUUGGAUUCCGGCGCCCACAUUUAUAAAGCCCGAAUCUGGGGUUUGUGGAUGUAUUGGGAAGAUCACAAGUAUUGGACAAAAUUAGUGGCUUGUGAAUGUAUAUUGAUGUAUAAAGAAGCAACAAAAAUUAAUUAAAAUAAAAAGGAAAUUAUGUUGUUGCAUGCUCUUAUGAUUUGUUUCACACUUAUAUUUAUUUUAGUACAUUAUA
Long non-coding RNA from Trifolium pratense (red clover), 471 nucleotides. RefSeq lists it as uncharacterized. Lineage: Eukaryota; Viridiplantae; Streptophyta; Magnoliopsida; Fabales; Fabaceae. The transcript is spliced from 2 exons. The record is from RefSeq and is a predicted model, not a curated record.